UAUUAUUAUUAUUAUUAUUAAGCCUUUAUUUACUCCUUAUCUUUAAGUACAAUAGGUUUUCUUACAACUAUCUAGCUAUUUAUUUUACAAUUUUUACCUUUAUUUUAUGUUAGUUUUGUUAGUAACUAUAUUAUUUAUUA
This is a long non-coding RNA of Maniola jurtina (meadow brown), 140 nucleotides long. RefSeq lists it as uncharacterized. The record is from RefSeq and is a predicted model, not a curated record. Lineage: Eukaryota; Metazoa; Arthropoda; Insecta; Lepidoptera; Nymphalidae. The transcript is spliced from 3 exons.